This 519-nucleotide ribosomal RNA is filed under the name uncultured bacterium. RNAcentral describes it as "bacterial SSU rRNA". It matches the Rfam family "Bacterial small subunit ribosomal RNA", at positions 8 to 502 of the family's 1533-position model. The record is from RNAcentral.
AGAGUUUGAUCCUGGCUCAGAAUGAACGCUGGCGGCGUGCUUAACACAUGCAAGUCGCACGAGAACGCUUCAGCUUGCUGAAGUUAGUAAAGUGGCGCACGGGUGAGUAACGCGUGGGUAAUCUACCUCCGAAUUGGGGAUAACAUUGCGAAAGCGAUGCUAAUACCGGAUAAUAUCUAAAAAAUUUCGAUUUUUAAGAUCAAAGGUGACCUCUACAUGUAAGUUACUGUUUGGAGAUGAGCCCGCGUACCAUUAGCUUGUUGGUAGGGUAAUGGCCUACCAAGGCUACGAUGGUUAGCUGGUCUGAGAGGAUGAUCAGCCACACUGGAACUGACACACGGUCCAGACUCCUACGGGAGGCAGCAGUGGGGAAUUUUGCGCAAUGGGGGAAACCCUGACGCAGCAACGCCGCGUGAGUGAUGAAGGCUUUCGGGUCGUAAAGCUCUGUCAAGUGGGAAGAACCUGCAUGAUGCUAAUAUCAUCGUGCACUGACGUACCACUGAAGAAGCACCGCUAACU